AUUGAACGCUGGCGGCAGGCCUAACACAUGCAAGUCGAGCGAGCGGCGGACGGGUGAGUAAUGUCUGGGGAACUGCCUGAUAGAGGGGGAUAACGACUGGAAACGGUGGCUAAUACCGCAUACUAUCGGAUGAACCCAUAUGGGAUUAGCUAGUAGGUGGGGUAAAGGCUCACCUAGGCGACGAUCGCUAGCUGGUCUGAGAGGAUGAUCGACAACACUGGGACUGAGAAACGGCCCAGACUCCUACGGGAGGCAGCAGUGGGGAAUAUUGCACAAUGGGCGAAAGCCUGAUGCAGCCAUGCCGCGUGUAUGAAGAAGGCCUUAGGGUUGUAAAGUACUUUCAGUGGGGAGGCGUUACCCGCAGAAGAAGCACCGGCUAACUCCGUGCUAGCAGCCGCGGUAAUAC
RNAcentral lists this ribosomal RNA (406 nucleotides) under uncultured bacterium. RNAcentral's name for it is "partial 16S ribosomal RNA". It matches the Rfam family "Bacterial small subunit ribosomal RNA", at positions 30 to 526 of the family's 1533-position model. The record is from RNAcentral.